GGAGUUGUGGCUCAGUGGUUGAGCAUCUGCUUUUCAUGCAGAAGGUCCUAGUUUUAAGAAGGUAGGUGAUAUGACACACCUCUAACUCGAAUCCUGGACAGCUAUUGCCA
RNAcentral lists this transfer RNA (110 nucleotides) under Sphaerodactylus townsendi. Its description in RNAcentral is "tRNA-Glu". The stretch from base 1 to 56 matches the Rfam family "tRNA". From Rfam's summary of the family: Transfer RNA (tRNA) molecules are approximately 80 nucleotides in length. Their secondary structure includes four short double-helical elements and three loops (D, anti-codon, and T loops). Lineage: Eukaryota; Metazoa; Chordata; Lepidosauria; Squamata; Sphaerodactylidae. The record is from RNAcentral.